GUGCUGGCUUCAGCAGCACAUGUACUAAAAUCAGAAUGAUACUGAGAAGAUUCACGUGGUCCCUGUGCGAGAUGACACACAAAUUCAUGAAGCAUUCCAUUUUAAA
Molecule: small nuclear RNA, 106 nt
Organism: Otolemur garnettii (small-eared galago)
Lineage: Eukaryota; Metazoa; Chordata; Mammalia; Primates; Galagidae
Source: Ensembl